UGCCAUCACAAUUGCGAAACGUAAACAAAGCAAAAGACAUACAUUUGAGGACGCAAAUAUUCACCGAGGAGGAGUGUGCCAGGCUUUAGGCCGUUCCCUAGCCGCGGUAGAUGUGCCCACGAUGGGACCCAAGGUUUAUUUGCCCCAAUGGGCCCGUACAGUGGUGGAUGAGUUUUCUUGCAACGGAUGAUUCUACGAGCUGGUGCAUGUGAUGGCCCUGUUCAAGCACCAUAUUCCGCAAUGCGGUCUGAAGGUGGAGGCUAGAGGCCACAUCUUUAGCCUGUGCUGUGGUGAAGAUUCUGAUACUGCCACAGCCAGGAAAGUCGGACCAACGUCAGCAGCAUCAGGGCGAUAUCAAAUCUCAGCUGCUGAGCGGCUCCUCGGCUUUCCUGAAUACCGACACUAUGUGUGGGAGGAUCUGAUGCGACAAUAUGGUGCGCUCGCAGACAAGGAGGAUUUGAGUCUAGAAGAAAAUAAAUGCAAUUGAAUUGCCCGUUCUACCAGUCACACACUCCAGUAACGAUUGAACCAUCCUCGUCCUACAAAGUUCCUGCCAUUAUCCAAAUAAAACAAACAAAUCUUUAAAAACCCAAAUGGAAAACAUACGGCUUAUAACAGAAUACCUGAAAGAAACAAAUAUUUACCAUGCCAUCGUAAUAAUCUUAACUUUGUUAUAGCACAAAAAUAACCAUCAUACAAUUUAGACA
Long non-coding RNA from Drosophila pseudoobscura, 707 nucleotides. RefSeq lists it as uncharacterized. The transcript has 2 exons. The record is from RefSeq and is a predicted model, not a curated record. Lineage: Eukaryota; Metazoa; Arthropoda; Insecta; Diptera; Drosophilidae.